RNAcentral lists this unclassified non-coding RNA (17 nucleotides) under Mus musculus (house mouse). Its description in RNAcentral is "oocyte_clustered_small_RNA14000". Lineage: Eukaryota; Metazoa; Chordata; Mammalia; Rodentia; Muridae. The record is from RNAcentral.
CAUGGAGGGGCUCUGCU